This 447-nucleotide ribosomal RNA is filed under the name uncultured bacterium. Its description in RNAcentral is "partial 16S ribosomal RNA". It matches the Rfam family "Bacterial small subunit ribosomal RNA", at positions 29 to 523 of the family's 1533-position model. The record is from RNAcentral.
AGCGAACGCUGGCGGCAGGCUUAACACAUGCAAGUCGAACGGUCCUUCGGGAUAGUGGCGGACGGGUGAGUAACACGUGGGAACGUACCCUUAGGUUCGGAACAACACAGGGAAACUUGUGUUAAUACCGGAUAAGCCCUUCGGGGGAAAGAUUUAUCGCCUUUGGAGCGGCCCGCGUCUGAUUAGCUUGUUGGUGAGGUAAUGGCUCACCAAGGCUACGAUCAGUAGCUUGUCUGAGAGGAUGGCCAGCCACACUGGGACUGAGACACGGCCCAGACUCCUACGGGAGGCAGCAGUGGGGAAUCUUGCGCAAUGGGCGAAAGCCUGACGCAGCCAUGCCGCGUGGAUGAUGAAGGUCUUAGGAUUAUAAAAUCCUUUCACCGGAGACGAUAAUGACGGUACCCGGAGAAGAAGCCCCGGCUAACUUCGUGCCAGCCGCCGCCGUAA